UUAGUGGCGGACUGGUGAGUAACACGGGGGUAAACUGCCUUAAACACAUGGAUUCCGCGUGAAAACGCUUGGUAAUACCUCCUAUUGCCUAUCCAUUGCAUAAUGAAUACGUGAAAUGAGGAAUCCGGUUUAGGAUGGCUCCGCGUCCACUUACCUUGUUGGUGAGGUAGUACCACCCCCUUGCGACUACUGGUACCCCACCUGAGAGGUUGAACGGCCACCUUGAGACUGAGAUACAGCCCACACUCCUACAGGAAGAAACUGUGGGGAAUCUUGCGCAAUGGGGGGAACCCUGACGCACCGACGCCGCGUGAAGGAAGAAGGACUUCCGAUUGUAGACUUCUUUGAUUCUUGAAGAUGAAAGACGGUGCCUAGAAAACCAGCCACGGCUAACUACAUGCCCUUCUCCGCGGUAAUACCUAAGAGGCAACCGUUGUCCGGAAUUACUGGGUGUCCACGGCGAGUAGGUGGAUCACUACGUCGUACGUGAUCACUCAUGGCUAAACUGUGGCAUGCCAACUGACACUAGACAUCUUGAGUACUGCAGAGGGAACCGGAAAUCCUAGUGUAGAACUGGAAAUGUGUAGAUAUUAAGAGGAACACCAAUGGCUAGGCGGCUUCCUGGACAGAGUACUGACACUGAGGCACGAAAGCGUGCGAGAGCGAACUCGCAUUAGAUACACCUGGAUAGUCCACGCUGUAAACGAUGGAUACUAGGUGUAGGUGGUAACCAAACCAUCUGUGCCGGAGUAAACACAAUAAGUAUCUCCACCUGGGGAGUACAGCCGCAAGGUUGAAACUCAAAGGAAUUGACGGGGGGCCCGCACAAGCAGUGGAGUAUGUGGUUUAUUUGGAAGCAACGCGAAGACCCUUUCCAGGGCUUGACAUCCCUUGAAGCAUCCAGAGAUACGUAGGGCGUUCGCGUCAAGGAGACGGGUGGUGCAUGGUUGUCAUCAGCUCGUCAGUGAGAUGUUGGGUUAAGUCCCGCAACGAGCGCAACCCUUAUACCUAGUUGCCAGCAAUAAGAUGGGGACUCUAGCGAGACAGCCGUUGAGAAAACGGAGGAAGGAAAGGAUGACGUCAAAUCAUCAUGCCCCUUCUGCUCUGGGAUACACAGGUACUCCAAUGGGUUCUACAGAGGGAAGCGAAGCCAGGAGGGGGAGCGAAUCUCAAAAAGGUAGUCCCAGUUCAGAUCAUAGGGGGAAAGUGUCUUGCAUGAAGUUGGAAGAGGUAGUAAUUGCAGGUCAGAAUAUUUCAGUGAAUACGUUCCCGGGCGUUCUACACCCCGCCCGUCACACCAUGAGAGUCUGCAACACCCGAAGUCAGUA
This 1328-nucleotide ribosomal RNA is filed under the name uncultured organism. RNAcentral describes it as "partial 16S ribosomal RNA". It matches the Rfam family "Bacterial small subunit ribosomal RNA", at positions 92 to 1432 of the family's 1533-position model. The record is from RNAcentral.